GGCGGGACACGUGGUAUCCUGUCUGAAUAUGGGGGGCCCAUCCUCCAAGGCUAAAUACUCCUGACUGACCGAUAGUGAACCAGUACCGUGAGGGAAAGGCGAAAAGAACCCCGGCGAGGGGAGUGAAAAAGAACCUGAAACCGUGUACGUACAAGCAGUGGGAGCACGCUUAGGCGUGUGACUGCGUACCUUUUGUAUAAUGGGUCAGCGACUUAUAUUCUGUAGCAAGGUUAACCGAAUAGGGGAGCCGAAGGGAAACCGAGUCUUAACUGGGCGUUAAGUUGCAGGGUAUAGACCCGAAACCCGGUGAUCUAGCCAUGGGCAGGUUGAAGGUUGGGUAACACUAACUGGAGGACCGAACCGACUAAUGUUGAAAAAUUAGCGGAUGACUUGUGGCUGGGGGUGAAAGGCCAAUCAAACCGGGAGAUAGCUGGUUCUCCCCGAAAGCUAUUUAGGUAGCGCCUCGUGAAUUCAUCUCCGGGGGUAGAGCACUGUUUCGGCAAGGGGGUCAUCCCGACUUACCAACCCGAUGCAAACUGCGAAUACCGGAGAAUGUUAUCACGGGAGACACACGGCGGGUGCUAACGUCCGUCGUGAAGAGGGAAACAACCCAGACCGCCAGCUAAGGUCCCAAAGUCAUGGUUAAGUGGGAAACGAUGUGGGAAGGCCCAGACAGCCAGGAUGUUGGCUUAGAAGCAGCCAUCAUUUAAAGAAAGCGUAAUAGCUCACUGGUCGAGUCGGCCUGCGCGGAAGAUGUAACGGGGCUAAACCAUGCACCGAAGCUGCGGCAGCGACGCUUAUGCGUUGUUGGGUAGGGGAGCGUUCUGUAAGCCUGCGAAGGUGUGCUGUGAGGCAUGCUGGAGGUAUCAGAAGUGCGAAUGCUGACAUAAGUAACGAUAAAGCGGGUGAAAAGCCCGCUCGCCGGAAGACCAAGGGUUCCUGUCCAACGUUAAUCGGGGCAGGGUGAGUCGACCCCUAAGGCGAGGCCGAAAGGCGUAGUCGAUGGGAAACAGGUUAAUAUUCCUGUACUUGGUGUUACUGCGAAGGGGGGACGGAGAAGGCUAUGUUGGCCGGGCGACGGUUGUCCCGGUUUAAGCGUGUAGGCUGGUUUUCCAGGCAAAUCCGGAAAAUCAAGGCUGAGGCGUGAUGACGAGGCACUACGGUGCUGAAGCAACAAAUGCCCUGCUUCCAGGAAAAGCCUCUAAGCAUCAGGUAACAUCAAAUCGUACCCCAAACCGACACAGGUGGUCAGGUAGAGAAUACCAAGGCGCUUGAGAGAACUCGGGUGAAGGAACUAGGCAAAAUGGUGCCGUAACUUCGGGAGAAGGCACGCUGAUAUGUAGGUGAAGUCCCUUGCGGAUGGAGCUGAAAUCAGUCGAAGAUACCAGCUGGCUGCAACUGUUUAUUAAAAACACAGCACUGUGCAAACACGAAAGUGGACGUAUACGGUGUGACGCCUGCCCGGUGCCGGAAGGUUAAUUGAUGGGGUCAGCGCAAGCGAAGCUCUUGAUCGAAGCCCCGGUAAACGGCGGCCGUAACUAUAACGGUCCUAAGGUAGCGAAAUUCCUUGUCGGGUAAGUUCCGACCUGCACGAAUGGCGUAAUGAUGGCCAGGCUGUCUCCACCCGAGACUCAGUGAAAUUGAACUCGCUGUGAAGAUGCAGUGUACCCGCGGCAAGACGGAAAGACCCCGUGAACCUUUACUAUAGCUUGACACUGAACAUUGAGCCUUGAUGUGUAGGAUAGGUGGGAGGCUUUGAAGUGUGGACGCCAGUCUGCAUGGAGCCGGCCUUGAAAUACCACCCUUUAAUGUUUGAUGUUCUAACGUGGACCCGUGAUCCGGGUUGCGGACAGUGUCUGGUGGGUAGUUUGACUGGGGCGGUCUCCUCCUAAAGAGUAACGGAGGAGCACGAAGGUUGGCUAAUCCUGGUCGGACAUCAGGAGGUUAGUGCAAUGGCAUAAGCCAGCUUGACUGCGAGCGUGACGGCGCGAGCAGGUGCGAAAGCAGGUCAUAGUGAUCCGGUGGUUCUGAAUGGAAGGGCCAUCGCUCAACGGAUAAAAGGUACUCCGGGGAUAACAGGCUGAUACCGCCCAAGAGUUCAUAUCGACGGCGGUGUUUGGCACCUCGAUGUCGGCUCAUCACAUCCUGGGGCUGAAGUAGGUCCCAAGGGUAUGGCUGUUCGCCAUUUAAAGUGGUACGCGAGCUGGGUUUAGAACGUCGUGAGACAGUUCGGUCCCUAUCUGCCGUGGGCGCUGGAGAACUGAGGGGGGCUGCUCCUAGUACGAGAGGACCGGAGUGGACGCAUCACUGGUGUUCGGGUUGUCAUGCCAAUGGCACUGCCCGGUAGCUAAAUGCGGAAGAGAUAAGUGCUGAAAGCAUCUAAGCACGAAACUUGCCCCGAGAUGAGUUCUCCCUGACCCUUUAAGGGUCCUGAAGGAACGUUGAAGACGACGACGUUGAUAGGCCGGGUGUGUAAGCGCAGCGAUGCGUUGAGCUAACCGGUACUAAUGAACCGUGAGG
RNAcentral lists this ribosomal RNA (2520 nucleotides) under Shigella sonnei. RNAcentral's name for it is "partial 23S ribosomal RNA". It matches the Rfam family "Bacterial large subunit ribosomal RNA", at positions 416 to 2915 of the family's 2925-position model. The record is from RNAcentral. Lineage: Bacteria; Pseudomonadati; Pseudomonadota; Gammaproteobacteria; Enterobacterales; Enterobacteriaceae.